Molecule: ribosomal RNA, 468 nt
Filed under: uncultured bacterium
Lineage: Bacteria
Description: partial 16S ribosomal RNA
Rfam family: Bacterial small subunit ribosomal RNA
Source: RNAcentral
GACGAACGCUGGCGGCGUGCUUAACACAUGCAAGUCGAACGGAAAGGCCCUGCUUUUGUGGGGUGCUCGAGUGGCGAACGGGUGAGUAACACGUGAGUAACCUGCCCUUGACUUUGGGAUAACUUCAGGAAACUGGGGCUAAUACCGGAUAGGAGCUCCUGCUGCAUGGUGGGGGUUGGAAAGUUUCGGCGGUUGGGGAUGGACUCGCGGCUUAUCAGCUUGUUGGUGGGGUAGUGGCUUACCAAGGCUUUGACGGGUAGCCGGCCUGAGAGGGUGACCGGCCACAUUGGGACGGAGAUACGGCCCAGACUCCUACGGGAGGCAGCAGUGGGGAAUAGUGCACAAUGGGCGGAAGCCUGAUGCAGCAACGCCGCGUGCGGGAUAACGGCCUUCGGGUUGGAAACCGCUUUCGCCUGUGACGAAGCGUGAGUGACGGUAAUGGGUAAAGAAGCACCGGCUAACUACGUG